RNAcentral lists this long non-coding RNA (10552 nucleotides) under Sorghum bicolor (sorghum). RNAcentral's name for it is "long non-coding RNA (SBIC_LNC009238)". Lineage: Eukaryota; Viridiplantae; Streptophyta; Magnoliopsida; Poales; Poaceae. The record is from RNAcentral.
CGCUCUAACUUAACCAAGAUAAGUAAAUAGGUGUAAAUAGGAAAGAUGGUAGAAUUGAAUAAGAACAAUAUUAAAGGUAAGAUAACAGUGAGUGAUAAUAUGGGAAUAGAGAAUAGAGCAAUUCUAGUAUAUGGGCGAUGGUAGCAGAAUAGAGAGGAUAACUAUGGUUUCUCUACUUCAAAGGGUGUCUAUGUCUGGGACGAACCACGUGAUAAGAGUACACCACAAAGGAUGCUUAUCCUUAGGCCGAUAAACCCUACCCGUCCUGCUAACGAGAGGUGGACUACAGAGGACCAACGUAACUGUCACCUACGCGGCCUACCACACGAUCCAGCUAGACAGGGGAUAUCCACAAGUAAUCUAGAUCUAAGCACCUCGCUUACACCUAUACUACAACUCUCACCUAUAGCGUCCUAUAGAUUAGAAUACUCAAAAGAGUUGUGAACCAGAACAUACAUAAUUAGUAAUUGCAUAAUGAAUUAGAAGUAGAUUACCAGAGUCAUGCCAUGAGCAAGCUUGAUUAGAGCUUGAUCAUGACGAAGUACAACUGGAGGAAGAACCGACAGGCCGGCCUCUCCUCUAAUCCUCCUUCGCUCUCCAUCUUGCUACUAUCUAGAUCUACUCUAGUUUAGAGAAGAGAGGAGAGCUCUCAUCUCUAAACCCUAGCUUUUACUCUGUCUAUGAAUAAUGAAUAAUGAUCAAGGGGUGCCUCCUCCAGGGGCCAGGGGGUCUGGUUAUAUAGUCCCCUCAAGUGAACCUGGGCUGUCGGAUCAAACCGACAUUGAUUGAACGGUUAUUCUUGAUCCUUUAGGUCGGUGGAGAUCUCCCGAGAGAAAGAGUCCUGAUUGGGCUCCAAGUCAGGGCGGGCGCCCAGGGCAGGAAGGCGGGCGCCCUGCCUCUGGCCCCAUUCGGCCUCCGCUUCCUUCCCGUGGCUUCUGGAGUCUUCUAGAUGUAAGAUAAUUGCGCGGCACGUCAAUAUCUCUAUGUAAUCCCGACGUGUGGGCCUUUCUUCCGUAUUUCCUGAUAACCCCCUGCAGAAAUAGACAAACACCAAAACUCGUGGAAUUCUGUCAGAUAAAACCCUAAGUCUAGAUGUUGAUUUCAUUUGGAUCCUUUUCUUUGUUUAUUUGAUAUUAAAUUUGAUACUUAAGGACCGUCAACAAACUCUCCCAAGCUUACCUCUUGCUCGUCCCUGAGCAAGGAUAGACUCAGCAAUGGAUCAGAAGUUGUUGCAAUAUCUUUAAAAAUUUGACGGUACACAUGAUUUUAAAUAAGAUCUCAUCUCUGAGUUAGAGUAAACUGUCAAGAACUAAAACUUACUUACUUUACCUUUCACCAUGGGACUUGUAACCGUCACUUCUGUCUUGAGUAGUUAAGAGAUAGAACAGUCUAGCCAAGUGCCAUGUCUCUUUAUUCUUGAUCAGCUAUAGCUCUGGAGUUUUUGCAGAUUUUCAAAUAAAACUCAGAGAUUCCUUGUAUGACUCUCUAAAUCUCUCUUUUGUGGUAUUUCUAGAUCCUUACCAAGGCAGUGAUGGUAUAUGCCUUCUCUCAAGAUAUGUGGUAUUUGUGGUAUGAGGCAUAGUGAUAUUGCCUUCUCUCUCACCCUACUCUAAUAAGGUUUGAUAUCUAGAGCUCAUAGGUGGGAGACAGCUAAUACAUACUUACAAGACAUUUAUUGCAUAGUCAAACCAUGGAUCCAGAGAAACAAGUCAAUAAGUCAAAUCAAGAUGUGCAUGUGUGGCGAAUGAAUGGUGUAUGGUGAUGAUGGUGAUAACAAUGGUGGAAGUCUAAUUCUACUUUUGCUCUUUUGAGGGGAUACAUACCUUCCUUGCUUUUUGAAACUUUAUGAGGAGAAUGAGAUGCUCUAUCUUUCAUUUUUUUUCUUUCCUCUCAGGUGGGUAUCCUGUACCCCUAAUUCUAUUGUCGGACACUUGUCCAUUUUUACCUCUCGUCUCACUCUUUUUCUUUUCUUUCGAGGUUCCGGGCACUUGCCCCUUUUUAUUUCCUCGUAUAUUUUUUUUUCCUCUUUUUUUUAGAGCACUCAUCUCAUGAGAUAAUAUAGCAAGUGGUAGUAACAAGAUAACUUGAGCAUUUAUUUUACAAGGAAAAAUAGAAAUAUUUUUGGUUAUUCUCUCCCGGAUUAGGAGUAGAAUAUUUUUGGGUGGUUCUGGAGAUGGAAAUGAGUGGAUAUAUGUGGAUGGUACUUCCAGAGUAGAAGUAGCAUAUAUGAGUGAAUGUGCAAGUGAAAUCUUGAUUUAACCACAUGACAAGCUCCUAGGGGUCUACACAGCUUGACCACACUCAAUGCUCAUAAGCAGUAAAUAGUAAAUGUGUGGCUCAAAGUCUAGCAAGCAUGUAUAUAUGGCUGUGGUAGGAAUUUAAACUUUCAUCAUACAGGAACUCAUCAUGCAAUAUUUUAAAGAUUUUUCAAAGAUAAAAUUCUCCAGAAUUCUAGCAUCUCUAGAAACAGAUAAACAGCAGCUCAACCUUCCCAUAUCAUAUCCGUUAACAACUUAGAUUUCAGAUCAAGUUUUUAUCCCACAAGUUUAGAUCUAGAGCAAGCUUUAAAUUAUAACAGUUAUGUCUAAACUUGAGAGAGAACUUCAAAUUUGCAAAUUAGGCAGAGCAACUAUUUAUCAUAUCCAUGCUAGAGUUUUAUUAUUAAGAUUCAGAUUAGCAUAGCCACUUUAUUUAUUUAUUAAACACACUAAGCAAAAGAUAUAUAUAAGCACAAAAUAUUUAUUUGGUUUUUCAUAGUUUAUGUAUUUUAAUAUUCUAAUAUAAUAUAAGUAUAAAGAUAGGUAGAAAUACUUCGCGAGAUAAAUAGGGGUGCUCUCCCCCAAGCUGAAUUUUGAUGUAAUUUCUCUUGAUGUAGCUAGCAGGUGGCAGAGGUGUAUUUGAAAGUCAGCAGCAUUCUGACAGCGAUUAGAAUGUCCUCCGUCUGCUAGUCUUCUUGAUUCUUAAAUUCUGUGGAGCUCAAAUAGACAACAAAGCUUGUGGAACUAAUUAAGUGUUAGCAUAAAUAUCUAGCCUUCAUCAUGUUGAGCUUCCUCAAUAAAUAUUACUCCCUGUUUUUAUAUUUUUAUUUAUAAAGAAGAAAAGAAAUAUUUAUUUUAUUUUUAUGCCACCACAGUGAAGGUACUUAUGGGUUUUAUGCCACUCGUAUACUCACAUGGGGCUUAGUAUUUUUUUAACAUUUUUAUUUUCUUUUCAAGAUAGCAUGAUUAACUAAUAAUCUAUUUAAGGAAAGUAAAUAAUUAAAAGAGAAAGGGAAUGCAGAAAGGAUAAAUAUAGAUAACUACCGAUCUUAACUUUCGGCGAUGGUUCAAUGUUUUAAGUCUUCUUAACAAGACUUCUCACCGUGUUCAUUCUUCAGGUGCGUCAUUUGAUUCAGGUGCGGACCUUGACGUCUGCACCUCUUUGUUUGCCGAGCAGUUCGAAGUGCAGCGUUGGCAGUAUCCUGCUCAGUGUGUUUGUGCUCGUAGAUCCAGGUCCUUUACUUGGUAGAGUCUGAGAGUUAUAAAACUCCUCUGUGUUUUGCUCGAAGUGUACCUGCUCAUAGAGACAAGGCAGAGAUCAAGUGCAUGGGUCCUGUUGGUGGAAAACACCAACAGAACCAAAAGUGUAUUUGUUCUUCUCUAACCCUAAGCAUAGUGAGCAAGACAAAGUUGAUGGAUGAAAAGUUCAUGAGUGUAGCACUUAUAACAUUUGUCAGAUCAGAUUGCUCAACCUUAUGGAAAGAUAAUCUAUCUAUGUAUAUGUCUUUUUCUUUAUAUCUCUCAAAGAUUGAAUGUGUAACAUUUUAGCUCAUAUGAUUAGGAGUGUGGGAUCAUGGAGGUAGUACAAAGAACAAGGAUUAAAGGACUAAACAUGUUGAAUCAGUUAGGUUGGUUAAUCUAGAGUUGUAAAUCAUACAUGUUUGUCUCUUUUAUUUAUAUGAACGCUAGAACCAAGGAGAAGCUUAUAAAAGUGAUAUUCAAGUACCUUAAGAUGUUACCUUGCUUGAAGAGUGAUGGUACAGUAUCACCUUGUGGAAGCUUUCCUUUCUUAGCGAUUGUGUAUCGUGUUUGUGGCACCCUCCAUGGAUCAUCUCUCUAUGAUGAAUGAGCUAUGUCCUUCUUGUGCAAAUUGUUAAACUUCAUGUGUCACUCUCUUCGUCUCUGAUGUGAGUUUAUCUCACGACUUCCCAAAUCGAUAUUGAAAGUUUUUCUGCAGGGGUUAGUCCGACAAAAAUAUACCAAUGUCUACACAAGCAGUUUUUAGUUCAAUAACCGAACUAGACUCCAUGUCUAAUCAUAUUAAGGAAGGCUGUUUAACCUAAGCACCAUGCUUAAUUUAAAAGCCAAUAGAAGUAUGUGCAGUACUUCCAAACUAACACUUACUAGUAAAUAGACAAAGGUAGCAUGACAACAUUUAUAGAGAUCUACUCAAGUGGAGAUGAAGUAGUGUGAUUAGUAUUUAACAAAUUGAGCAUGUCUUAAAGGUAGGGACAACCAAAAUAGCAACAUGGCAAAGGAUGUUUUUAUGUAAAGUACUCCCCCAAGCUUGAAUUUUGCAGAAUUCAAGUUUGGAUGAAUUUAAUUCAAUGUUGUAUGAUGAUUGGUUGGACAUACCUUGUGCUUGUCAUUCAUCCGAUCUUCUUGCUCCAAUCCUGUAAAGGUUAGUGACAAGAAUACCCGAAGGAAUAUUUUUACAAUUAUCUUUAUAUGCUCAAUACACAAGGUAAUGUUGCAAAUAAUUAAAAACUCAUGUUACGAUCUGAUCAGUGCUUAUUUUAGGACACUAAGCUUGUCCUUGGGAAACCAUCAAUUUAUGUCGGCGAAGUGGUUUCCCUUCCAACGCUGACCUAAAUCAAGAUCAACUCAACGAGAUCUGCAAUAUUUAUUAUAGACAUAUGCAUCGACAACCGCCCUUUUAAAGUUUUUAUAAAUAGAAAGGAAGAGGGGGUUGGAGAUCUCAAAUGUGGUGAUGUUGGAGAGACCAAUAGAUUGGGAAGAUGUUGCAUACGAGCAUGGAGUAAACAAAGUGGCUAUGAAAUAAAUUCCAUGCUCAUUAAUGUUAUCUUCGUCUCCAAUCUGAAUGUUCAGAGUUCCUCUUGGAUUGGUCUCACUUAUGUCCUCUUCUAUAGUUGGAUGAAUCCCAUCUUCAAAAGGAGUCAAGAACUCACCAUUUGAAAUUGAACCAAAGUCAGAAUUCAUUAAGGCUUCUUCCUUAUCCAUCCAUUCUACACAUUCUAGACAUUUAGAACUUGUGAUCGGGAAAGGGGAGGUGUUAGAAUUUUCAAUAUGGCUUAGCUCUCCUUUACUUGAUGUGUCAUCCUCGACUUCUUCAUAACAGGAACCAGGACAUUCUCUAAGAGAACCAUUAUUACGAGGAUUUGAAUUAUCCCUGCUUGAAGGUCUCUUAUGGAACCAGAAGUCUAAACCAUCAGCAUCUGAAAGAUUUAAGGUCGGAAUUCCUUCCUCCCAUGGAGAAUUUUGGGGUAUUGAUGGUUUAGGAUCGAUAGCUAAAGUUUGGAAUUGAAGUGGUUGUGAUCUGGCUAUCGAAACUUCUUCUUCUUGUCUAGGAACUGGUUCUAUCUCUUUCUCAGGGAUAUAAAAGCUAGGAGACUUUCCACUUAAUAAAUCAAUCAAAUUCCAAGCUUCACUAGCAGGUAGGUGAUAGAAGGAUCCUCUAGAGGCUGUAUUCAAGGUUUGCUUAUUUUCCCUACUAAGGCCCUCAAAAAAGUGAAUUAGAAGAACUUCUUCUGGAAUAGAAAGCUUUGGGCCAGUGAGAGUAAGGUUAAUAAAGCGGUCCCAUGAUUUCCUAAAAGAUUCUUUUUCCAGUUGUCUAAAAGAAAUAAUCUCACGCCGAAGUUACGCCACUUUGGAGAUUGGAAAAUAUUUAGAAAGAAAACUACUAUAUAACUCCUUCCAAUCUCUAUGAACACUCCCUAUUUUGAGUUUGUACCAAUGUCUAGCUUUUCCCGUUAAAGAGAACGGAAAGAGCUUCCAUUUGAGGGUCUCAUCGGACAUUCCUUCUAUGCGAAGGAGGUCACAGACUCGAUAAAACUCUCUUAGGUGUGUGUAUGGUUCCUCACCUUCUCCUGAGAAAGGUUGUUUUUGAACAAAUUCUAUGUAUUCGGGGUCUAUCUCAAAACUAGAUGCUAUGAUAGGCUUUGAAGAUUUUGGUGGUUCGAGAUGUGUGCCCGUAGGUCUAUGAAAUUCAUAGAUAGACAUGUUUGAAUUCAUGAUAGACCAGAGAUCAAGGAUUAGAUAAGAAGAAAGAUUAGCAGAGAUGAGGCAAAGGAUAAAAGGAUUUUUUUUAUUUUUUUUAGAAAAUGAUUAAGCUAGUUCGUAGUCAACUCAGCAACCGUUUCCCCGGCAACGGCGCCAAAAAUGCUUGUUGACACUUGCUAACACCACUUGAAUACUAGGUUGUCAUCCCCAGCAUGGCACUAGAGUGUACUAUGGUAUUUAUACGCACACAGAUAAUCCGCAAGCGCACGGAUACCGUUGAAGCUUUUACCCGGUUAAAGGUUUUAUCGUAUCCACAGGGAAACAGGAGAAGUGAUCUACGCUCUAACUUAACCAAGAUAAGUAAAUAGGUGUAAAUAGGAAAGAUGGUAGAAUUGAAUAAGAACAAUAUUAAAGGUAAGAUAACAGUGAGUGAUAAUAUGGGAAUAGAGAAUAGAGCAAUUCUAGUAUAUGGGCGAUGGUAGCAGAAUAGAGAGGAUAACUAUGGUUUCUCUACUUCAAAGGGUGUCUAUGUCUGGGACGAACCACGUGAUAAGAGUACACCACAAAGGAUGCUUAUCCUUAGGCCGAUAAACCCUACCCGUCCUGCUAACGAGAGGUGGACUACAGAGGACCAACGUAACUGUCACCUACGCGGCCUACCACACGAUCCAGCUAGACAGGGGAUAUCCACAAGUAAUCUAGAUCUAAGCACCUCGCUUACACCUAUACUACAACUCUCACCUAUAGCGUCCUAUAGAUUAGAAUACUCAAAAGAGUUGUGAACCAGAACAUACAUAAUUAGUAAUUGCAUAAUGAAUUAGAAGUAGAUUACCAGAGUCAUGCCAUGAGCAAGCUUGAUUAGAGCUUGAUCAUGACGAAGUACAACCGGAGAAAGAACCGACAGGCCGGCCUCUCCUCUAAUCCUCCUUCGCUCUCCAUCUUGCUACUAUCUAGAUCUACUCUAGUUUAGAGAAGAGAGGAGAGCUCUCAUCUCUAAACCCUAGCUUUUACUCUGUCUAUGAAUAAUGAAUAAUGAUCAAGGGGUGCCUCCUCCAGGGGCCAGGGGGUCUGGUUAUAUAGUCCCCUCAAGUGAACCUGGGCUGUCGGAUCAAACCGACAUUGAUUGAACGGUUAUUCUUGAUCCUUUAGGUCGGUGGAGAUCUCCCGAGAGAAAGAGUCCUGAUUGGGCUCCAAGUCAGGGCGGGCGCCCAGGGCAGGAGGGCGGGCGCCCUGCCUCUGGCCCCAUUCGGCCUCCGCUUCCUUCCCGUGGCUUCUGGAGUCUUCUAGAUGUAAGAUAAUUGCGCGGCACGUUAAUAUCUCUAUGUAAUCCCGACGUGUGGGCCUUUCUUCCGUAUUUCCUGAUAACCCCCUGCAGAAAUAGACAAACACCAAAACUCGUGGAAUUCUGUCAGAUAAAACCCUAAGUCUAGAUGUUGAUUUCAUUUGGAUCCUUUUCUUUGUUUAUUUGAUAAUUAAAUUUGAUACUUAAGGACGUCAACAAACUCUCCCAAGCUUACCUCUUGCUCGUCCCUGAGCAAGGAUAGACUCAGCAAUGGAUCAGAAGUUGUUGCAAUAUCUUUAAAAAUUUGACGGUACACAUGAUUUUAAAUAAGAUCUCAUCUCUGAGUUAGAGUAAACUGUCAAGAACUAAAACUUACUUACUUUACCUUUCACCAUGGGACUUGUAACCGUCACUUCUGUCUUGAGUAGUUAAGAGAUAGAACAGUCUAGCCAAGUGCCAUGUCUCUUUAUUCUUGAUCAGCUAUAGCUCUGGAGUUUUUGCAGAUUUUCAAAUAAAACUCAGAGAUUCCUUGUAUGACUCUCUAAAUCUCUCUUUUGUGGUAUUUCUAGAUCCUUACCAAGGCAGUGAUGGUAUAUGCCUUCUCUCAAGAUAUGUGGUAUUUGUGGUAUGAGGCAUAGUGAUAUUGCCUUCUCUCUCACCCUACUCUAAUAAGGUUUGAUAUCUAGAGCUCAUAGGUGGGAGACAGCUAAUACAUACUUACAAGACAUUUAUUGCAUAGUCAAACCAUGGAUCCAGAGAAACAAGUCAAUAAGUCAAAUCAAGAUGUGCAUGUGUGGCGAAUGAAUGGUGUAUGGUGAUGAUGGUGAUAACAAUGGUGGAAGUCUAAUUCUACUUUUGCUCUUUUGAGGGGAUACAUACCUUCCUUGCUUUUUGAAACUUUAUGAGGAGAAUGAGAUGCUCUAUCUUUCAUUUUUUUUCUUUCCUCUCAGGUGGGUAUCCUGUACCCCUAAUUCUAUUGUCGGACACUUGUCCAUUUUUACCUCUCGUCUCACUCUUUUUCUUUUCUUUCGAGGUUCCGGGCACUUGCCCCUUUUUAUUUCCUCGUAUAUUUUUUUUUCCUCUUUUUUUUAGAGCACUCAUCUCAUGAGAUAAUAUAGCAAGUGGUAGUAACAAGAUAACUUGAGCAUUUAUUUUACAAGGAAAAAUAGAAAUAUUUUUGGUUAUUCUCUCCCGGAUUAGGAGUAGAAUAUUUUUGGGUGGUUCUGGAGAUGGAAAUGAGUGGAUAUAUGUGGAUGGUACUUCCAGAGUAGAAGUAGCAUAUAUGAGUGAAUGUGCAAGUGAAAUCUUGAUUUAACCACAUGACAAGCUCCUAGGGGUCUACACAGCUUGACCACACUCAAUGCUCAUAAGCAGUAAAUAGUAAAUGUGUGGCUCAAAGUCUAGCAAGCAUGUAUAUAUGGCUGUGGUAGGAAUUUAAACUUUCAUCAUACAGGAACUCAUCAUGCAAUAUUUUAAAGAUUUUUCAAAGAUAAAAUUCUCCAGAAUUCUAGCAUCUCUAGAAACAGAUAAACAGCAGCUCAACCUUCCCAUAUCAUAUCCGUUAACAACUUAGAUUUCAGAUCAAGUUUUUAUCCCACAAGUUUAGAUCUAGAGCAAGCUUUAAAUUAUAACAGUUAUGUCUAAACUUGAGAGAGAACUUCAAAUUUGCAAAUUAGGCAGAGCAACUAUUUAUCAUAUCCAUUUGCCAACCAGGACAGUGAGGUCCAAACGGUGCUGCACUGCCGUCUCCGUCUUUUUUGCCCAUUUGCNNNNNNNNNNNNNNNNNNNNNNNNNNNNNNNNNNNNNNNNNNNNNNNNNNNNNNNNNNNNNNNNNNNNNNNNNNNNNNNNNNNNNNNNNNNNNNNNNNNNAAAGAAAAAAAAAAAAAAAAAAAAAAAAAAAGGGGACUUUUCCCUUUUGUCACGACGCAGGCCUAGACAUGGCAAAGUGUUGGGGCGGGGUGGCCGAUAUGUAGAAAUACUUCGCGAGAUAAAUAGGGGUGCUCUCCCCCAAGCUGAAUUUUGAUGUAAUUUCUCUUGAUGUAGCUAGCAGGUGGCAGAGGUGUAUUUGAAAGUCAGCAGCAUUCUGACAGCGAUUAGAAUGUCCUCCGUCUGCUAGUCUUCUUGAUUCUUAAAUUCUGUGGAGCUCAAAUAGACAACAAAGCUUGUGGAACUAAUUAAGUGUUAGCAUAAAUAUCUAGCCUUCAUCAUGUUGAGCUUCCUCAAUAAAUAUUACUCCCUGUUUUUAUAUUUUUAUUUAUAAAGAAGAAAAGAAAUAUUUAUUUUAUUUUUAUGCCACCACAGUGAAGGUACUUAUGGGUUUUAUGCCACUCGUAUACUCACAUGGGGCUUAGUAUUUUUUUAACAUUUUUAUUUUCUUUUCAAGAUAGCAUGAUUAACUAAUAAUCUAUUUAAGGAAAGUAAAUAAUUAAAAGAGAAAGGGAAUGCAGAAAGGAUAAAUAUAGAUAACUACCGAUCUUAACUUUCGGCGAUGGUUCAAUGUUUUAAGUCUUCUUAACAAGACUUCUCACCGUGUUCAUUCUUCAGGUGCGUCAUUUGAUUCAGGUGCGGACCUUGACGUCUGCACCUCUUUGUUUGCCGAGCAGUUCGAAGUGCAGCGUUGGCAGUAUCCUGCUCAGUGUGUUUGUGCUCGUAGAUCCAGGUCCUUUACUUGGUAGAGUCUGAGAGUUAUAAAACUCCUCUGUGUUUUGCUCGAAGUGUACCUGCUCAUAGAGACAAGGCAGAGAUCAAGUGCAUGGGUCCUGUUGGUGGAAAACACCAACAGAACCAAAAGUGUAUUUGUUCUUCUCUAACCCUAAGCAUAGUGAGCAAGACAAAGUUGAUGGAUGAAAAGUUCAUGAGUGUAGCACUUAUAACAUUUGUCAGAUCAGAUUGCUCAACCUUAUGGAAAGAUAAUCUAUCUAUGUAUAUGUCUUUUUCUUUAUAUCUCUCAAAGAUUGAAUGUGUAACAUUUUAGCUCAUAUGAUUAGGAGUGUGGGAUCAUGGAGGUAGUACAAAGAACAAGGAUUAAAGGACUAAACAUGUUGAAUCAGUU